UUUCUUUUAAUUUGUUUUGUGCCAGCGUACUUCGCUUGAAAUACUCAACGAUUUUUUUGACUUUGGCCUGACAUGCAUGGCUGUGUUAAUGCUGUGAGCUAAACAGGCUAUAUGGCGCAAGUUGCCUUUCUUUACAGCUGCGACGAUAUUUGCCGCGUUGUCGCUCGCUAUUGCAGUUACUUUAUUCGAUAAUUUUUAAUCUUCUAGAUUUAGAUUUUAGGUAAUCGCAUUAAUUUUUUGCCGUGUGGCGUUCAGUAUACUCAAUACAGCCCAACAACAUAGUUUCCAAAUUAAUUUGUGCCUCGUCGUAGGACACGAAGUGCGCUGUCAUAGCAACAAAACUUUCGUUCAUGGAGCCGUCCGUUGACAUGCAAACCGCAGAAGCCACUUCUACUUUUUUUUUCAGAAACUUCCAAAAGCUUUUUAUACUGUUUUGACAGUAUAUUUUCAGAUAAAGUUUUUCUAGUCGGCAAAGAGUAACUAAGGUUCAGAAGCAUCACAAACUCGCGGAACUCCUUAUCCUCGACCAACCGUAGUGGAUGGUACUCUUUGGCUAUCAUGGUCAUCAGUUGCCGGUCUAUUA
This 583-nucleotide unclassified non-coding RNA is filed under the name Melitaea cinxia (Glanville fritillary). Its description in RNAcentral is "misc RNA ENSMCXG00005003815.1". The record is from RNAcentral. Lineage: Eukaryota; Metazoa; Arthropoda; Insecta; Lepidoptera; Nymphalidae.